AGAAAAAGAAGAAGAAAGACAAAAAGAAGAAGAAGAAGAAGGUGAAAAAGGACUCCUCCUCUUCCUCCUCCUCUUCGUCUAGCUCAUCUUCCUCUGAUAGUGAUGACAGGAAGAAAAAGAAGAAAGACAAGAAGAAAAAGAAAGAUAAGAAGAAAGACAAAAAGAAAAA
Alosa alosa (allis shad) is the source of this 169-nucleotide long non-coding RNA. RefSeq lists it as uncharacterized. The transcript is spliced from 2 exons. NCBI's taxonomy places the organism in Eukaryota, Metazoa, Chordata, Actinopteri, Clupeiformes, Clupeidae. The record is from RefSeq and is a predicted model, not a curated record.